Long non-coding RNA from Prionailurus viverrinus (fishing cat), 432 nucleotides. RefSeq lists it as uncharacterized. NCBI's taxonomy places the organism in Eukaryota, Metazoa, Chordata, Mammalia, Carnivora, Felidae. The transcript is spliced from 3 exons. The record is from RefSeq and is a predicted model, not a curated record.
UUUCAGAAAAUUUAAGUUCCUAGCAUUUGUUACCUGUUCACAAUUAAUGCUCAACCUAGUGCACCUCAAACCUCAAUGAACUAGAUUAUAACAUUUUUUUUUUUUAAGGAGGAGCAAAACUGUCUUCUGUAAGCUGUGAUUUAUUUCAUUUCAGAAACUGGAAGUCGCCCAAGUAGGAGGAGGAAAGGAAACAAGGUGUAAGGAUAUUACAGGCCAUCGCAGAAAUGUGGUCAAGGAAUACAAGGAGGGGGGCUGUAGGAGUGAAGAGAAAGCCACUGAUUGCAGAAAAUACCUUAGGGGACUUCAUUAACAUCUUGUGAAUGUUCCUUCAAGUUUGAUUGAACAAGGGCGAUUUUCCUCCGGACAACUGAUAGAGUUCGAAUAUGCUGGAUCCGGUAUUAUUUUAGAUUAAUUUAAUCUUCAUGCUUUCAA